Molecule: ribosomal RNA, 200 nt
Filed under: uncultured prokaryote
Description: partial 16S ribosomal RNA
Rfam family: Bacterial small subunit ribosomal RNA
Source: RNAcentral
CGUCAAAUCAUCAUGCCCCUUAUGACCUGGGCUACACACGUACUACAAUGGACGGAAACAGAGGGAAGCGAAGCGGCGACGCGGAGCAAAACCCUAAACCCGUUCUCAGUUCGGAUCGCAGGCUGCAACCCGCCUGCGUGAAGUCGGAAUCGCUAGUAAUCUCGGAUCAGCAUGCCGAGGUGAAUACGUUCCCGGGUCUU